RNAcentral lists this small nuclear RNA (132 nucleotides) under Neogale vison (American mink). RNAcentral describes it as "Neovison vison (American mink) U4 spliceosomal RNA (ENSNVIG00000001908.1)". It matches the Rfam family "U4 spliceosomal RNA". Rfam says of the family: U4 small nuclear RNA (U4 snRNA) is a component of the major U2-dependent spliceosome. The structure of U4 snRNA from yeast and human has been reported. U4 snRNA presents a k-turn RNA motif in the 5p-SL related to recognition of Snu13 protein. Lineage: Eukaryota; Metazoa; Chordata; Mammalia; Carnivora; Mustelidae. The record is from Rfam by way of RNAcentral.
AGCUUUGCGCAGUGGCAGUAUCGUAGCCAAUGAGGUUUAUCCGAGGCGCGAUUAUUCCUAAUUAAAAUAAGUACAAAAGAAAGCAUGGGUGACUCCUAUCUGACUUACCUCAUCACUUAGGCAGCAAAAUGU